Molecule: ribosomal RNA, 837 nt
Filed under: Sarcocystis tenella
Lineage: Eukaryota; Apicomplexa; Conoidasida; Eucoccidiorida; Sarcocystidae
Description: SSU rRNA
Rfam family: Eukaryotic small subunit ribosomal RNA
Source: RNAcentral
GUAUGGCUGGCGAUAGAUCAUUCAAGUUUCUGACCUAUCAGCUUUCGACGGUAGUGUAUUGGACUACCGUGGCAGUGACGGGUAACGGGGAAUUAGGGUUCGAUUCCGGAGAGGGAGCCUGAGAAACGGCUACCACAUCUAAGGAAGGCAGCAGGCGCGCAAAUUACCCAAUCCUGACUCAGGGAGGUAGUGACAAGAAAUAACAACACUGGAAAUUUUAUUUCUAGUGAUUGGAAUGAUGGGAAUUUAAACCCCUUUCAGAGUAACAAUUGGAGGGCAAGUCUGGUGCCAGCAGCCGCGGUAAUUCCAGCUCCAAUAGCGUAUAUUAAAGUUGUUGCAGUUAAAAAGCUCGUAGUUGGAUGUCUGCUGGAAGCAAUCAGUCCGCCCUAUUUGUAGGGUGUGCACUUGAUGAAUUCUGGCAUUUUUGUCCCAAUGAUGUAACGGGGCGGUGGUAUUCGGUGAAAGCCGAGUAUCCUGUUUUCCGAUUAUUGGGAUACUGUUACUUUGAGAAAAUUAGAGUGUUUGAAGCAGGCUAAUUGCCUUGAAUACUGCAGCAUGGAAUAACAAUAUAGGAUUUCGGUUCUAUUUUGUUGGUUUCUAGGACUGAAAUAAUGAUUAAUAGGGACAGUUGGGGGCAUUCGUAUUUAACUGUCAGAGGUGAAAUUCUUAGAUUUGUUAAAGACGAACUACUGCGAAAGCAUUUGCCAAAGAUGUUUUCAUUAAUCAAGAACGAAAGUUAGGGGCUCGAAGACGAUCAGAUACCGUCGUAGUCUUAACCAUAAACUAUGCCGACUAGAGAUAGGAAAAUGUCAUUUUGCUGACUUCUCCUGCACCUUA